This 406-nucleotide ribosomal RNA is filed under the name uncultured bacterium. RNAcentral describes it as "partial 16S ribosomal RNA". It matches the Rfam family "Bacterial small subunit ribosomal RNA", at positions 30 to 526 of the family's 1533-position model. The record is from RNAcentral.
AUUGAACGCUGGCGGCAGGCCUAACACAUGCAAGUCGAGCGAGCGGCGUACGGUUGAGUAAUGUCUGGGAAACUGCGUGAUGGGGGGGGAUAACUACUGGAAACGGUAGCUAAUACCGCAUACCAUCAGAUGUGCCCAGAUGGGAUUAGCUAGUAGGUGGGGUAACGGCUCACGUAGGCGACGAUCCCUAGCUGGUCUGUGAGGAUGACCGGUCACACUGGAACUGAGUCACGGACCAGAGGCCUACGUGAUGCAGCAGUGGGGAAGAUUGCCCAAUGGUUGCAAGCUGGAUGCAGCGAUGCCGCGGGUGUGAAGAAGGCUUUCGGGUUGUAAAGCACUGUCAGUGGGGACGCGUUACCCGCCGAAGAAGCACCGGCUAACUCCGUGUCAGCAGCCGCGGGAAUUC